RNAcentral lists this ribosomal RNA (253 nucleotides) under uncultured bacterium. RNAcentral describes it as "partial 16S ribosomal RNA". It matches the Rfam family "Bacterial small subunit ribosomal RNA", at positions 524 to 776 of the family's 1533-position model. The record is from RNAcentral.
UACGUAGGGUGCAAGCGUUGUCCGGAAUUAUUGGGCGUAAAGAGCUCGUAGGCGGUUUGUUGCGUCGGCUGUGAAAUCCCGAGGCUCAACCUCGGGUCUGCAGUCGAUACGAGCAAACUAGAGUGUUGCAGGGGAGACUGGAAUUCCUGGUGUAGCGGUGAAAUGCGCAGAUAUCGGGAGGAACACCGGUGGCGAAGGCGGGUCUCUGGGCAACAACUGACGCUGAGGCACGAAAGCGUGGGGAGCAAACAGG